UGUGGGUUGUGGGCUGUGUGGCUGUGGUAUAGGUGCCGCCAGUUGAUAACCCCCAGC
RNAcentral lists this microRNA precursor (57 nucleotides) under Drosophila melanogaster (fruit fly). RNAcentral describes it as "Dme-Mir-966_pre stem-loop". Lineage: Eukaryota; Metazoa; Arthropoda; Insecta; Diptera; Drosophilidae. The record is from RNAcentral.